Molecule: ribosomal RNA, 460 nt
Filed under: uncultured bacterium
Lineage: Bacteria
Description: partial 16S ribosomal RNA
Rfam family: Bacterial small subunit ribosomal RNA
Source: RNAcentral
CCUACGGGAGGCAGCAGUGAGGAAUAUUGGUCAAUGGGCGAGAGCCUGAACCAGCCAAGUCGCGUGAAGGAUGAAGGAUCUAUGGUUUGUAAGCUUCUUUUAUAUGGGAAUAAAGUGAGGAACGUGUUCCUUUUUGUAUGUACCAUAUGAAUAAGAAUCAGCUAACUCCGUGCCAGCAGCCGCGGUAAUACGGAGGAUGCGAGAGUUAUCCGGGUUUAUUGGGUUUAAAGGGUGCGUAGGUGGUUAAUUAAGUCAGCGGUGAAAGUUUGUGGCUCAACCAUAAAAUUGCCGUUGAAACUGGUUGUCUUGAGUAUAUUUGAGGUAGGCGGAAUGCGUGGUGUAGCGGUGAAAUGCAUAGAUAUCACGCAGAACUCCGAUUGCGAAGGCAGCAUACCGGCGCUCACCUGACGCUCAUGCACGAAAGUGUGGGUAUCGAACAGGAUUAGAUACCCGUGUAGUC